UUAGGGACUCUCUGGACCUGCUAAGGUCCAGAUCUAGGCACCAUACCCCCAUGGGACCUCUCACACUUCAAGUACAAGGCAAACAAGGCAUGAAGAAACCCUAGAUCUAACCAUAUCAACCAAAAACACAGAAAUAAGCUCUGAAUGAUACCUCAAGAAGCUCCCCUGACGAAAUGGAAGUAGAUCCAAGCUCCCCAACUCUUCUAGCUUGACUUUCCCCUUCCUUUCUUGCAAUUACACACAAAUUUAGUGAAUAAUGGCCUCUUAUCUCACUCACAGGAAUCCUCAGCUGCUUUGGGUGCUCUCAAGGUCAAGGUAGCCGCAAUAAAGGGCCAUAAGGUCUUUUAAAUAAGGCUUAGGACCGGGGAAUUAGGGUUCCAUUAAACAGCGCGGACUCCCUGAGUCCAUUCCUUGGACUCGCCGAGUCCAGGCGCGAACCCGCGUCCAGAACCGCGAUCCUACUCGGCGAGUUUGAGCUCCAACUCGCCGAUUCCCCUCACAAAACACCAAAAAUAUAUGAAUAAAAGGUACCUGAAAAUCCGGGCUGUUAAAAAAAAGAGUCAAAAUCCUGAAGAACUCGACGAGUUGGAUGCCCACUCGACGAGUUCACACGAACAUUCGCGAAGUAAUAGAAGUCCUUUCCGUACACAGAUUUUUAAUUAGGGACUCGGCGAGUCAGUUACUGGACUCGACGAGUAUCCUAUGUUUUCAGAAAUCUAUAAAUAGAAGUCAAUCGCCCGAAACCAAACCCUUCUCUGGAACCCUUGGGGAUUAAAUUGCGACUGGAGAUGCAGCCGGAUCUCUGGAACUCGUGGAACAAUCCUAUCUUUCAAUUUUGAGAAGUUCAAAGGCAAUUUAAGUUUGCUCUUUACUUAAUCUUUUGUUUGAACUAUGUGUGAACUAUUAGAUUUCGUUUUUGAGCUANUAGUCUCCAUCCCAAAUGGGAGGACAUAAAGCAUGGCAUUAGGGACUAUCUGGACCUGCUAAGGUCCAGAUCUAGGCACCAUACCCCCAUGGGACCUCUCACACUUCAAUUACAAAGCAAACAAGGCAUGAAGAAACCCUAGAUCUAACCAUAUCAACCAAAAGCAUAGAAAUAAGCUCUGAAUGAUACCUCAAGAAGCUCCCCUGACGAAAUGGAAGUAGAUCCAAGCUCCCCAACUCUUCUAGCUUGACUUUCCCCUUCCUUUCUUGCAAUUACACACAAAUUUGGUGAAUAAUGGCCUCUUAUCUCACUCACAAGAAUUCUCAGCUGCUUUGGUGCUCUCAAGAUCAAGGUAGCCGC
This 1285-nucleotide long non-coding RNA is filed under the name Lactuca sativa (garden lettuce). Its description in RNAcentral is "long non-coding RNA (LSAT_LNC002723)". The record is from RNAcentral. Lineage: Eukaryota; Viridiplantae; Streptophyta; Magnoliopsida; Asterales; Asteraceae.